Long non-coding RNA from Melopsittacus undulatus (budgerigar), 114 nucleotides. RefSeq lists it as uncharacterized. NCBI's taxonomy places the organism in Eukaryota, Metazoa, Chordata, Aves, Psittaciformes, Psittaculidae. The transcript has 3 exons. The record is from RefSeq and is a predicted model, not a curated record.
GCCCGGCAGCCACGGAGCUGCUGGAUCCCUCGGAGCCGCUGGGAAUUGGGGCUUGAAUCCAGGAGCUAAAGGCCGGAUCCGCAGGGCCAACACUCGGCUGCUCCAUCCCGACCC